UUUUGGGAAGGAGCCCAAUAAAUCCGUGCGGGCUUGAGUGAUAAGCCCAAAGCGGACAAUAUCAUACUAAUGGAAAGUUGGCUUGGUUAUAGAGAUUCCAACAGUGUAUUCAUUAUUUUAAGUGAUUUGUGUAAAAUUUAUAAAUCUUAUGUUAUUUUAUUCAAUCAUGGAUAUCAAAAAAUUCAAUGAAAUCUUGUGUUAUUGAACUAAUGAUUUAAAAGUUCACCAUAAAAUUCAUUGUUAUUGAAAAUAAUUUGUGGAUUUGAAUUUU
RNAcentral lists this long non-coding RNA (271 nucleotides) under Capsella rubella. Its description in RNAcentral is "long non-coding RNA (CRUB_LNC001689)". The record is from RNAcentral. Lineage: Eukaryota; Viridiplantae; Streptophyta; Magnoliopsida; Brassicales; Brassicaceae.